This 556-nucleotide ribosomal RNA is filed under the name Nematoda sp. ZTSP58. Its description in RNAcentral is "bacterial SSU rRNA". It matches the Rfam family "Eukaryotic small subunit ribosomal RNA", at positions 123 to 679 of the family's 1831-position model. Lineage: Eukaryota; Metazoa; Nematoda. The record is from RNAcentral.
GAUCUUGACUUCCUACUUGGAAUACCUGUGGUAAUUCUAGAGCUAAUACAUGCAAAUAAGCUCCAACCUCUGGGCGGAGCGCAUUUAUUAGAACAAAACCAAUCGGCUUCGGCCGUAGUUUGGUGAAUCUGAAUAACUCAGCUGAUCGCACGGUCCUCGCACCGGCGACGUAUCUUUCAAGUGUCUGCCUUAUCAACUUUCGAUGGUAGUUUACACGCCUACCAUGGUUGUAACGGGUAACGGAGAAUAAGGGUUCGCCUCAAGACGGACAACUGCGAAAGCAUUUGCCAAAAAUAAGGAAGGCAGCAGGCGCGCAAAUUACCCACUCUCAGCUCGAGGAGGUAGUGACGAAAAAUAACGAGACGGUUCUCUAUGAGGUCCGUCAUCGGAAUGGGUACAAUUUAAACCCUUUAACGAGGAUCUAUUGGAGGGCAAGUCUGGUGCCAGCAGCCGCGGUAAUUCCAGCUCCAAUAGCGUAUAUUAAAGUUGUUGCGGUUAAAAAGCUCGUAGUUGGAUCUGCGGUCUCGCGAGCUGGUCCCCCACAGGGUGUGACUGG